CCUACGGGUGGCAGCAGUGGGGAAUAUUGGGCAAUGGGCGCAAGCCUGACCCAGCCACGCCGCGUGAAGGAAGAAGGCUUUCGGGUUGUAAACUUCUUUUAAGAGGGAAGAGCAGAAGACGGUACAUCUUGACUACACCACAGCUAACUACGGGCCAGCAGCCGCGGUAAUACGGAGGUGGCAAGCGUUGUCCGGAUUUACUGGGUGUCAAGGGCGUGUAGCCGGGCUGACAAGUCAGAUGUGAAAUUCCGGGGCUCAACCCCGGACCUGCAUUUGACACUGGUUGUCUUGAGUAUCGGAGAGGCAGGCAGAAUUCCUAGUGUAGCGGUGAAAUGCGUAGAUAUUAGGAGGAACACCAGUGGCGAAGGCGGCCUGCUGGACGACGACUGACGGUGAGGCGCGAAAGCGUGGGGAGCAAACAGGAUUAGAUACCCCUGUAGUC
Molecule: ribosomal RNA, 442 nt
Filed under: uncultured bacterium
Lineage: Bacteria
Description: partial 16S ribosomal RNA
Rfam family: Bacterial small subunit ribosomal RNA
Source: RNAcentral